GGCCAUAGCUCAGUGGUAGAGCAACUGCUUUGGUCCCGGGUUCGAUCCCUGGCAUCUCUCUGUGGGGCCG
This is a non-coding RNA of Podarcis lilfordi (Lilford's wall lizard), 70 nucleotides long. NCBI's taxonomy places the organism in Eukaryota, Metazoa, Chordata, Lepidosauria, Squamata, Lacertidae. The record is from the annotation of a GenBank genome assembly.